RNAcentral lists this ribosomal RNA (434 nucleotides) under uncultured Clostridium sp. Its description in RNAcentral is "partial 16S ribosomal RNA". It matches the Rfam family "Bacterial small subunit ribosomal RNA", at positions 341 to 792 of the family's 1533-position model. The record is from RNAcentral. Lineage: Bacteria; Bacillati; Bacillota; Clostridia; Eubacteriales; Clostridiaceae.
ACGGAAGGCAGCAGUGGGGAAUAUUGGACAAUGGGGGAAACCCUGAUCCAGCGACGCCGCGUGAGUGAAGAAGUAUUUCGGUAUGUAAAGCUCUAUCAGCAAGAAAGAAAAUGACGGUACUUGACUAAGAAGCCCCGGCUAACUACGUGCCAGCAGCCGCGGUAAUACGUAGGGGGCAAGCGUUAUCCGGAUUUACUGGGUGUAAAGGGAGCGUAGACGGCGAUGCAAGUCCGAAGUGAAAGCCCGGGGCUCAACCCCGGAACUGCUUUGGAAACUGUAUAGCUAGAGUGCAGGAGAGGUAUGUGGAAUUCCUAGUGUAGCGGUGAAAUGCGUAGAUAUUGGGAGGAACACCAGUGGCGAAGGCGGCUUACUGGACGAUUACUGACGCUGAGGCUCGAAAGCGUGGGGAGCAAACAGGAUUAGAUACCCUGGUA